AAAGCAAAAUUUACAAACUGCAGCCUGUUCUUGUGUAUACCUUUCAAAAGACAUAUUCAUCAAGAGCUCACUU
This is a non-coding RNA of Echinops telfairi (small Madagascar hedgehog), 73 nucleotides long. The record is from Rfam. Lineage: Eukaryota; Metazoa; Chordata; Mammalia; Afrosoricida; Tenrecidae.